UACCCGCUGAAUUUAAGCAUAUCACUAUGCGGAGGAAAAGAAAUCAACCGAGAUUCCUUUAGUAACGGCRAGUGAAAGAGGAUGAGCUCAGCGUGUAGUCCCUAUUUCUAGGGAGAUGCCACGUAUGGAAAUCGAACGUUUCGAUUCGGUGUAGACUUAUCGGAAACUGAUCAAUGAACUGUCGACCGUAGAGGGUGUUAGUCCCGUUCCGAUUGUCUUUAUCCGAAUCGUUGUUCUUUUUUCGAGAGUCGGGUUGUUUGAGAAUACAGCCUGAAGAGGUGGGAAAUUCCAUCUAAAGCUAAAUACCACUGCGAGACCGAUAGCGAACAAGUACCGUGAGGGAAAGUUGAAAAGAACUCUGAAGAGAGGGUUCAAGAGAACGUGAAACUGCUACGGGGAUAAAGCGGAUACACUCGCGUCGUCGAACCGGGGAGUUCGUCCGAGAUGAUAACCUCGUCUCGGUUUAAUCUCCCUCUAGUAGGCUAGCCCGGGCGUUUCUUUCGACCGCGAUGACAGUCGAGGAAAGGGUAGAGAUACGUUUCGGCGUGACUUUGCCUCGUACUCGACGUUCAUACGAUCGCGGCCUGAUCGAGACGUUUUUUCGGGUUACCUUAGCGAAUAGUCUAUCCGUCCCGUCUUGAAACACGGACCAAGGAGUCUAACAUGCGCGCGAGUCAAAGGGCAAUUACUAAACCCCUAGGCGAAGCGAAAGCAAUUUAAUUUUAAGGGAGAUGGGUAGCGUUUCUAUGCUACCUCGCAUCCCUGGGGAGAAGACUUAUACUUUCUCACCUUGAGCGCGCACGUUGGUACCCGAAAGAUGGUGAUCUAUGCUUGACCUGGACGAAGCCAGAGGAAACUCUGGUGGAGGUCCGUAGCGAUUCUGACGUGCAAAUCGUUCGUA
RNAcentral lists this ribosomal RNA (901 nucleotides) under Ianiropsis epilittoralis. RNAcentral describes it as "eukaryotic LSU rRNA". It matches the Rfam family "Eukaryotic large subunit ribosomal RNA", at positions 22 to 906 of the family's 3401-position model. The record is from RNAcentral. Lineage: Eukaryota; Metazoa; Arthropoda; Malacostraca; Isopoda; Janiridae.